GCUAAAUUGCUACAUCACCACGGCUGGAUGUAGUAUAUGAACGUCGCAGGUACGGCCACGAUUGUACAUCUCUUUGGUCUUCAACAAGAUCUCUUGGUAACAGAAAACAAGCCUUGAAAUUGGUAUCCUGAAAGAAGCCUUUUUAUCAGUGGCCUUGCAAAAAAAGAAAAAACUGCAGGAUGGAUCAGUUCUUUGGAAUGUACCUGCUUCUUGCUGUUGCCGUCCCUUUAGGUGCGCAAUACUUUGCUGACUCUAAAGCCUACAACGAUCACACCUGUGGGACUUGUUCGAAAGGCCGGAAACGUAGUUUGCAAAAACAAAAAACGCAGAUCUCACGUUUUUGGUGAAUCGAGGUUAUGCUAAGCAUGCGGAGGGCACGUGAUCAUGUUGAAUAUCUUUUAUUGAGCGACACGUUAUGGAAAGUGAGACUAAAUAUAUGUACAAAGGUUGCACGCACAUCCACUUGUUGAAAAACUGCAGAUGAUUAAAAACAAGUUGUUUCCUCUUGCGCAAAACUGCCAACAGUAACAUCCUGUAUCUUAGCAACACCAGAAGCGAUGAGCUUAUAUGAAGCGCUGGGGCUCACGACGAUAUUAGCUGUGGACGCUGCUACAUGAAUCAACUUCAGUGAGUGUCACCUAAAUACAAUCGAUGUUCGCUCGACGUCGCAGCUGUACGAUAGGUGUAUAUAUGUAGUAUUAAUAAAAUUCGAUAGCCAGUGCUGCAACCAAAAUCGCAGUUUCACGAGCAUCAGAGUCUAUUGAAAAGUAAGCCUGAGACCUGGCGUUGCUCUGUGGUAAGAUAUUUGAUCGCCACGCAGGUUGCUGAGAUUAAAUUUCUGCUCGGACCAUGAUAUUUACUCUGUGCGUUCGUUGGGUCAACGUUACCGAAGACAGUUUUUUCUUAACACUUUCGCGUUAAAACUACCCUUGUGUGUUCUUGAAGCAUCUGGGUAGAGACUGAGUUUCUAUCACCUGUGGCACAUGCCCGCACACCUGUGGCACACACUCGCCUUCGGGUAUGUGCCACUAUUUGAAGGGAGGUUUUUACGACGUGUGCGAUGAGAUAGUGACAUUAUUCCUGUCUUGACCUCUGCGUAUUAUUCGUCAAACCUUCGUACCCUUUAUGUUAUUUUGGUUCAAGCCCAGUGAAGAGGGUGAUCAUGAGAGC
Rhipicephalus microplus (southern cattle tick) is the source of this 1170-nucleotide long non-coding RNA. The record is from RefSeq and is a predicted model, not a curated record. Lineage: Eukaryota; Metazoa; Arthropoda; Arachnida; Ixodida; Ixodidae.